This 1089-nucleotide long non-coding RNA is filed under the name Triticum aestivum (bread wheat). RNAcentral describes it as "long non-coding RNA (TAES_LNC015052)". Lineage: Eukaryota; Viridiplantae; Streptophyta; Magnoliopsida; Poales; Poaceae. The record is from RNAcentral.
UCAACCUUUUAUUCUUUGUACCAAUAUUUACCAAAAUUAGCAAUAAGCACAAUUGAAUUAUAGGUGACUAACCAAUGGAAAAAUCUAAUCAACUUCCCAAAAGGUUAAUUUGUUGAAGAAAUAUGUACAAUAUAACUUAUUAUCACGUGGAAAACAUAGCAACAUGGACUCGACAACAGGAUAACUCUUCUAGUCAAUACAAGUUUACAUGGAGUCAAAUCCAAGUCCAACCAUAAGACCCAGCAAUCGUCAACAUGAACCUUGCUGGAAAGACAACAGCAGGAAUACCAAACACCUCUUUAUUUUCACCAAAUCAAACUUCUACAUCAAAUAAAAUCUCGAACUAUAAAUAAAUUGCCACAUUGGUAAUUAGUCGAGCACCUUUUAGUUCACUUAUAGAACCAAGACUGAUAAUAGAGACACUUCAACAUGCACUAGGUGAUCCUCCUGGGUGGGGGAUGGUAUCGUUAUCGGCCUUGUGGAACUUUAGGACUGCGCCCAUUAUUGGACUCGGCGCGGUCCUCUUCUUCUUCCUUUUGGGCUGUUGUUGUUUCUUUUGUUGAAGCUGCAAAAGUGGAUUGCUUAAUCUUCAGAAAAUUUAUCAAAUCCACACACACACACAGACAUAUAUAUAUAUAUAUAUAUAACUAAGAUUUUUUGAAUAAACUAAGUUUCAACAAACUAAUUAUAUAAGGCUUACCUUCUUAAAUGCCUCAACCAUUUGAGUGUUAAACAUAUCUUUGUAUUCCUUAGCAUACUCCAUUAGUUCUUCUUCAUUCAUGGUUUCCAUCCUUGCUAGCUGCAAAAAAUGUUGUCAUAUACAUGAAUGACGAGCAAGUACAUAUUAUACAAUUGUUCUAAGAACUACUUGAAUAUAUACCAUAACUCAUGAUUCCUAUCUAGAAAAAGUUGAUGUCUUGAUCAAACAACAUUUUUGAAACACAAAGUUUAUAUACAUUGAGACACUCCCCAUAGUAAAAGAAAGUAAGAAACAUCAAUAUUGAUUUUGCCAUUUACCCAUGCAUUGAAUUCCUCUAUGUGUCUCCUUGCAGAAUUAUCUUCAUUAUCUCCUUGAGCCAUAUCAACUAC